AGUAAGGUAAGUUAACCAAACUGUUGGGCUCAUGCUCCAAAAAUAGAGAUGAAAAUUCUCUCCUUACCC
This 69-nucleotide transfer RNA is filed under the name Ophiocten ludwigi. RNAcentral describes it as "tRNA-Met". Lineage: Eukaryota; Metazoa; Echinodermata; Ophiuroidea; Amphilepidida; Ophiuridae. The record is from RNAcentral.